Molecule: ribosomal RNA, 484 nt
Filed under: uncultured bacterium
Lineage: Bacteria
Description: partial 16S ribosomal RNA
Rfam family: Bacterial small subunit ribosomal RNA
Source: RNAcentral
AUUGAACGCUGGCGGCAGGCCUAACACAUGCAAGUCGAGCGGAUGAAGGGAGCUUGCUCCUGGAUUCAGCGGCGGACGGGUGAGUAAUGCCUAGGAAUCUGCCUGGUAGUGGGGGAUAACGUCCGGAAACGGGCGCUAAUACCGCAUACGUCCUGAGGGAGAAAGUGGGUGAUCUUCGGACCUCACGCUAUCAGAUGAGCCUAGGUCGGAUUAGCUAGUUGGUGGGGUAAAGGCCUACCAAGGCGACGAUCCGUAACUGGUCUGCGAGGAUGAUCAGUCACACUGGAAGUGAGACACGGUCCAGGCUCCUACGAGAGGCAGCAGUGGGGAAUAUUGGACAAUGGGCGAAAGCCUGAUCCAGCCAUGCCGCGUGUGUGAAGAAGGUCUUCGGAUUGUAAAGCACUUUAAGUUGGGAGGAAGGGCAGUAAGUUAAUACCUUGCUGUUUUGACGUUACCAACAGAAUAAGCACCGGCUAACUUCGUG